This 8235-nucleotide long non-coding RNA is filed under the name Eucalyptus grandis. RNAcentral's name for it is "long non-coding RNA (EGRA_LNC005673)". The record is from RNAcentral. Lineage: Eukaryota; Viridiplantae; Streptophyta; Magnoliopsida; Myrtales; Myrtaceae.
AAUAAUACAAACUAGACUCAAAGCACCCGCUUCCGGCGUGCUUGGCGAACAUUUUUUCCGGAAUAGAGUUAGGUUAAUUUUAUGAUGGAACAUGUGUGUUGCAAAAUACAUGACAAAUGCUCAUUAACUUCCUCUCUCUCUCUUUUGUCAAAAGAAAUUUUUAUUCGUUACCAAACUAAUACAUAAUAAAAAAAUCCCAAAAGUUACAAUAAUAAGGCAAGCCCAUAGAGCUCCAAUGCAAUCCAAAAACAAAAAUUCAAGGCAAUGUCAUCAUAGUAUUAUUAGUAAAAAUAAUCAUAGACUCACUUUUCAACGAUAGAUGUGCAACUACAUUCAAGUGAAAUGAACAUAGUAUCAUCACCGACAAGUAUACAUUGGGAUCUUCAUAUGUAGUUAUAAUUUUGCCUUUCAACGGGAUGUGCUUAGGUUUAGCAUUCUCAACAUAAUUACUAUAUAUUCAUAAAAACUAUGAAAUUGGAGGCGGAUAAUUUAUUCAUUAAAGCUCCUUAACUUGAGGAUGGCACAAAUCAAACGUUUUCUGCCGCAUUAGACAAAUCUCCUGCGCCUUUCGUGUCGGCAUUCGCCUUCCUCACGCCGCUGAACUCGAACUCGACGUUGAUCUUCUCAAAUCUACACCACUUUCUGCGACCGUGAUCCUCAGAGUCGCAAUAGAAGUAGGUGUAGAAAACCACCCCGCUGGUGGCGGCGGCGAGGGCGUGGAAGGCCACGGCCAUACACGCUCCUGUGAGCUGCGAGAAGUGGUAGGCGAAGCCGAACCCGAUCGCGGUGGUGAAGAUCCAGGUGACGAGCUUGAGCACCGCACGCCGCGGCCCCCUGUCCGUGGGGGGCGACCUAUUCAGCUCGGUCAGGCAGUAGUCGAGCAGGAGGUAGGCGAGGUACACGAAGACGAUGAAGACGACCAUGGGGGUGUCGCCGUUGACAGAGGCUCGGUAAAUGGUGCUGACGCUGUUGAUGGUGAGGAAAGCGAGGGGGAUCGAGCAGGGGAGGCCGGAGUGGUCGUCGCCACCGUGGUUACUGACCCCGGCGUCGGACGAGGAGACAGGAAGCCUCUGUCGCCUCUGGGUAUUUGCGUGCGCCAUUUUUCUUCUAAAAAACACGAGAGAUGAGAUUUAUAAAGGUACUCAGCGGAAGUGACGAGUGACGAUAUGGGAUGUGGUUUGACAUGAGGAGCGUCAUUGGGUUUUAUACAAGGGCGGUCAACACGGUCGUCGCGGCUAGACAUUCCCAGAACUUGCGCUGGGGCCAGGACAAUCUCGAGCAAUGCUCCUGGAAAGCUCCCGAGAGGGUACCUUUUCUCUUUUUCUUUUUUUCUUUUUUUCCGAGCGGGGACUUUACUCGGUUUUUCGGUGCGUGUUUUCCAUUGGCAAGGACGAGGAAGCUACCUAAAGCGGCGAGAAUAUAUAAGGUAGUGAUGGCCCAGACCCUACAGAGACAGAGGAAGGAGGCGAAGAACAUAAUUUUGAAGUCUCACCUUCUCACGGAGGGUUAGAAUUAGGACGAUUUUGUUUCAGAAGUGGGUUUCGACUCCUGCUGUUUGUAAGGAGGUAGGGCGAAAAUCUGAAAGUGAGAGUUAGAAUAGAAAUAAAGUAGGACUUGACAAAAAAAAAAAUUCAAAUGUGGAAUCGGAUUCUGCGUGGACGACACGUGUCGAAUUUUAUAUGAUUUUUCAUUUCGCCUGCAGUGUUUCACCUACUUAAUAUUUCCUCGGCUGUACGCAGUCGGCAAAUUAACAGUCCAUCCGUUGAUCAACACGUGUUUAGUGGGCCCAAGUUUUGGAAUUUUCCCAAUCGGUUUCUUUCUUCCAAAAACAGCCUCCCCUUCUCUCUCCUCCGCGUCUUUCUCCGUCUCUUUCUGAAAGGAAAGACCAAGAUCUCGGCCUCCGUCGACCAGCCGGCGACGGAGUAGUCGACGGAGGCCUGCCUCAGCCCCGGCGGCAUGGCCAUCGCCCAGACCAUCCUCACCUAGGACCUCACCGACGAGCUGGCCCUCAUCGACGCCAAGCCCGACAAGCUCCGCCGCGAGAUGUUCGACCUCCAGGACGCCGCCACCUUUCUCCGCCGGACAGCCUCAAUCGCAUUCCGGGGAAGGAGGAGGAGGAGGAGAUCCGAAGGGGGGCAGAGGGGUUUCAGGGGUCUACAGCCGCCUUACCAAUUGGGGGGUAUCCUUGACUUUGUUGAAUUGGAGCUGCCACCGCGGGGUGGAGCGGAACGCCUGGACGCGGGAAGGCUCCGACGACGAUUCCGGCGAGCCGUCGGCAGCAGGAGGUCCGAGGAGGCUGGAGAGGAAGGAGCCCAUGGUUGGCUUGAUUGCUCGCGAUGCCUCGCAGGGUGGGGAGGAAUGAGCAGAAAGGGAAGUCGGAGAGGUUAUCGGUUUUGGAUUAUGGACGGCUGGGAUCUAGGUGUUCGUGUUACUACUUACUAGGCAGCGUCUUGUUGAUUAAAUUAGAGGAGAAUUUUGCCCUAAAGAAAAUUAAAGAAUAAAUGCUAAGAAAAUUAUUGUAAACAUUUCAAAUGUCGAGAUAUAGAAAUUAAAGGUUAUUUGACGAUGACGCAGAAGGGGGUUUGGCUUGGCCACGGCUUUUUUUUUUUUCCUUUCUUUCCUGGGUGUCCGAGCACUUUUGUUUAUUCGAAGGUGGGAUCAGAGGAGAUCUUGUCUUAGUCCAAUGAGUCCUUAAUUAGACCGCCUUUGGUAAUGAUUUUAUCCCUAAGAACAAUUUUUUAUCUGGGAAAUUACCAAAAAAAGUUCUAAAUUUAUUAUAAUUAUGCUAGUUCAGUUCUAAAUUUAUUUUUUUGACUAAUUGAAUCCUAAACCUUUUACAAUUAUUCUUGAUUGGUCCAUCCGACCAAAAUUAGUCGACUGACGCUAGCGACCUUUUUUUCAAUAAUAUUUUAUUCUUUGAAAUGUUUUAUUAUUUUUAUUAAUUUUUUUUUAUCUUUUUUUCCUUUUUUUCUUUUCUAUUCUCCCUCUUCCUUCUUCCUCCCUCCUGCUUCCUUUGGCUCCGACGACCGGCUAGGCUGGCCGGUCGCUAGACUGAGGCGAUUCGGCAAGCUCGUCUCACUAGUAAAAAUUGUCCCAGAUGUGAAAGUGGGUGAAAAAUGAGCAAAACCCUUAAAACCAAAUGGGCCCUAAAUUGAAUUUUGAUUGAAGUUACGAUCGAACCAAUAAACAUGGAAAAAAAAAAAGAGGGGAAAAAUCACAAAUAAAGAUAUGAAGAGGAGUAAAUUUUAGGUUGAAAUGUAUGACGAUAAAUUUGUGGCUAACUAAGAUGUUAAGAUUUGUAUUUGUAGGGAAUGGGAUAUUUCCAUAAUACUAUGUAAACAUCCUAUAUGUUGUAUUAUUUUCAUGAAGUUAGAUAUCAAUAAUUAUGUAGUUAAUUGUUUCAAGAAAAAUGCUUUUAAAAAAUACUACCAAUAUCCCUUCUCAGCCAUGAUUGGAAAAAUUAAAUAUGACCCAAAAUUAGUGAUGAGUCAAUCAAAACCCCACUAUACAAAAAAAAAGAAAAGGAAAAGAGAAAAGAAAAAUAGAAUUAAGGAUAAGGAUGAACAAAAUAGCAAUCGUAAGAAAUUGAUGAAAGUUAUAUUCCGAAUGUGAUUUACAAACUGUCCCAAAUGGUUCUUCUUGGGUUUUCUCCCUCUCCAAAUGCCUCAAGGUCCCGGUCGCUGGACGACAAAUACCUCCUCGCCCCUUUCACGUCGCUUGUCGCCAGGUCCAUCCUAAGCUGGAGGAGGGUCGAUUCCAUCUAACUCUGAGCGUCGUCUUUUUAUAAUUUGACAGUUUCGAUCACUAUAUAAGUGUUGUUGUUUCUUUAUUUUCGCUCCUUUCAUGGCGAGUGACUUUGUCGGGAGAAAUUUCGGAAGAGGCGUGAGGGUUUGCCAACAACUCCAGAUAAAUUUUAGGUAGAAAAACUAUUUCUAAACGGAAAUUGUUCUCCAAAAUAAAAAUAUUACCAAAUGCACUUUUACCUAUGUAUCAAGUUCUCUGGACUCAAGAUAGAUCUUGAGCUUUGUUUUUUACAUGUGAUCAAUGAGUAGAUUUGAAAUCUAAACCAAAAGUAAAAGAGAAUCAACUUCUUUGUCCCCGAAAAUAGAUAUAGAAAAACUAUUUCUAAAUGGAAAUUAUUUUUCGAAAUAGAAAUGUUACCAAACACACUUUCAUCUGCAUAUCAACUUCUUUGUCUCAAUCACUGGACUCAAGUAGAUCUUGAGCAUUGUUUUCUACAAUCACGAGCUUGAUCUUUGCUCAUCAAUUUUCAUUGUUUGAUUCGUAUUUCCUCUUCAGUAUUUUGUUGUUUGAUUCGCGUCCAACUUUUGCAUAAAAUUAGCUCAUCUCGCUACCAAAAUGAGCACGUGACUCACACAUGCAAGUUGAUAGACACUGCUCGAGCUUACAUUUUUUCAUUAUAUGAGACAAGAUCCAUCUUGGAUCGUAUUUUGAGAAAACAGUUCUACUUUGAAAUAUUCACAAAUCAAAAGGAAAUAUUUAUUGUUUGACUUUGGUUUUUGCUUUCCCUCAACGCAAUCUAGGGGUAUCAAAAUUGAAUCGAAAUUUCAUGUAUUUUUGGCUCAUUUUGGGGAAUGGAAAAUUAAAUGUUCUUUUUUCCGAUUUGGUUAAUUGAGCCGAAUUGAAAUUUUGAACAAAAAUUGAACGCUCAACUUAAAAUUUCUCUUCUUUCUCACCCCUUAUUUAGAUUGGUUCCAAUAAACGGGGGUAAAAAAAGGAAAACCGAAAAACUGGACCGAAUUGGGUUCAAUGUCUCAAUUUAGGUCGCGAUUUGGUGCUACUGAUCUUAUCGGUUUGGAUUUCCUAAAAACCCAAACCGUAGACACUCCGAUAAACAAUCUAACUCAAUUGCUAUUAAAUGCUUCAACAAAAGAAAAAUGAUAUUUAAUGCUGAUCUUUUUAUAAAGAAAACAAGUAUUUCAUUGGAUUAUCCAAAGAUGAUGAUUAUUUAAUAAAACUAAAAAAAAUAAGUGCUGAAAUUUUUUUGGAUAUUAAGUGCUAGAGUUUUUAAGCACUGAAAAUAAAAAUAAAAAGUUGCUUGCUAACAUAUCCAAAUUAACUGAUAGAUUACGUCAAAAAAUCAUUUCUGCUAUCUUUUCAAUGACUAAAAACAAUAUAGUAAAAGGAAAUGAUAGGAGGAUGAAUUUGUUUGCUAUUGCAAUGAUAAUUAAAAAAUUUCACCCGGCGCAUAUUUUAAGAAAAAGCGAGCCAUUUUCACUUUCUCCUUUCGCCUUUUUAUCCUUUUUCUUCAGCCGAUUUUACUUUUCUCUUCAAAGUUAAAUUGCAUUGCAACUAAAUAUUAUGUAGAUGAGGGCUACAUGGAAAAUUUUAAAAAGUGAGAGAAAAGUUGGUUUAAAUAUUUUUUUUUAUAUUAAAGUUACAUUCCAUUCAUUUCUACAUAAACACAAGAGAGAAACAUUGCAGUCCAAUUACAAACUAAUUACAUACUAAAAUAAAUUCCAAACAACAUUUAAAAAAAAAAAACUCUAAAUAACAAGAGAAAUCAUCAGAAAAAUGUUAGAAGUCACCCACUCAAAGAACUGAUCUAAUAUUUUUUUCGAACCAAAAUCAACGAUUGACCACCGAAUCUGUCUUCAGUAAUUAGCAUGAACCAAUAUCUCUAUCUAUUGCUAUGGCUUUACCUUUUGUAGAUGCACGCUAGGUUCGACAUUUCCAACACCAUCGUUGUUUAAAGAAAUAUGGUUGAACAAGUAUAGAUUUGACACUUAUGAGAGCGAAAACUUCCCAAAGCUCCUAUGAUCUCCUUUGGAAUUGGACUCGUACACCAAUGAAUCUCAGGGAAGUGAAAACCUGAAAUCAUACACACAAAAUCCUCAAAUCUAGACUAACGAGAGAGAGAAGCUUCCAAAUUUAGACUAGAUCAGAAGAGAAAAGCUCCACAAAGCGAGAGGAAAGUGAGAAAAAGAGAAUAGAGAACCAAAUCAACCAAAGAAAAAGGAAAAAAAAAAGGAAGGAAAGGAAGAGGUUUAGCUCAAACACUCCUUUACAUAGAGGUUGAAAAAGAAAUAUGAGUGAAAAUUAGAAAGAAAGGAGAAAAUCCCAAAAGAGAGAGACGAACUUUCGAAGCGCCACUCGAUUAUUUGGUGAAGCUUGGUGUAAACAGUGACUGGUUUGAUUAUGUUUCAAAUGAGUGACGUUAAAUCCGUGCAAACCUAAGAUUCGAUUAUCAAGCCAAGUUCCUAAAAAAAGCAUACAAUUGCAAUCCUCUCUCCAUAAUGAAUAAGCUUAAGAAAAGGGUAAUGAGAGGAAGAUGGCACCGUCAACUCAGUUGGCGGUGGAGUCUGCAUCUCUCAUUUUCCCUAGGAAACGGGAGAACUAGCUCGUCUAGUUUCCCAAGGAUUGUUGGUUUCUUUCUUUUUCUUUUUUCUUUUUUCUUUUUAGCUUUUUAUUCCUUCUCUUUUCUUUUCAUUUUUGCCAGGUACUCUUGAUAGUUAUCUAAUCCCAUUUCUAAUCCCAUUUCGAGCUUUCUCUUCUCUUUGACCCCUUAAAUGCUGUCUCUGCAAUUGCAACUUCUAGGCUUUAUUUAUUUUUCCCAAUUUCCCCAUCUGCGACUAUGACUGAGUGAUGGGCAGGACAGCACUAGCAGAGUAAGUGCUGCUGCAAAGAGAAGAAGAAGAUUUUUCAUCCUUUUAUUAAUUGCCAAAUUUUCAAAAACUAGUUUCCUUUUAAAAAUUCACGACACAUGAAAACACACAAAAAUUCUUCAAUAUGCAUCUAAUGUAGGUAUGUCUUUUUUUUUAACCCACUGACGCAAUUUUAUGAAAUUUUAUGUAAUAUUCUGAUAAAUCAUUUGAAUUUUGUGCUUAGAGACAUUUUUAAAUAAAAUAUUUUUUAAACAUAUUAUGAACAGGGGAUCUGUACCAUUUAAUAAGAUAUGGCAUUUAGAUCGGGACGCAUUAUUUGUUAAAUAAUCAAUGUGUUAUGCUCUAAUUGAUCAUUCCAAUGUUAUUGAUUAUGGCAGGCAUGCUAUAAAUGGUUUUUUUUUUAUUGUGAAAAUUUCAUUCUUUGGGUGGGGAGUACAUAUAUGAAAGCAAUAUUUCUAUGACUGUAGCAAAAUUAUUUACACAUAACCUAAACUAAAACUUUAAGUGAAAAAAAGAAGAAAAAAGGGCUAAAAUACUUUACCAUUCGGUAGCUACUCUCUGUCAAAUUGAAAUAUGUGGGUGGGGGAGUUCACUGUUAUUCUUGAGAAUAACGGUGAUCGUCAGCCUAGCGGGACCCUUACGAAAAUAUAGUACUCUUUUGCUCGGACGAAGAAAAAAACUGCCUAAUUCAUCAACGGAAAUUUUCGCGAAAUUUUACUCCACACGAAAAUAAAAUUUUAUGAAAAAUAUUUAAGACCCUCACAAACACACGUCUUUCAAAGUACAUGACAAACGCCCAGGACAAUACUCUUCCACUUCCACUUAGUUAGUUACGUAAUCCCCCGCCCACUAUGGUCUUUAUUAUGUAUGAAAGCCGGACUUAGUUGUAAUGCUGCAACGUUCUAAUAAUGAAUGGUAUUCAUCAACCAAAAAAAAAAAAAAGUACAUGCCAAACGCUCUUUCAUAUCAUUAUAAAUAUCCUGUAAGUUUAUCACCAUAAAUACAAUACAAACCAUUGCAUUCCCCUUCUCAAUAUUAAAAAUUGCAAUAGUUAAUCGAGAUAUGUUUUUGAAAGGACCCUCUCAAGACGAUGGCACAAAUCAGACGUUUUCCGCCGCAUCAGGCACAUCUCCGGCGCUCUUCGCGGUGGCACUCGCCGUCUUUGCCCUGCCGAACACGAACUUGACAUCAAUCUUCUCGACCUUACACCCAUUUCCGCGGCCGCAAUCCCCGUGGUCGCAAUAGAAGUAGGUGUAGAAAACCACCCCGCUGGUGGUGGCGGCGAGGGCGUGGAAGGCCACGGCCAUACACGCGCCCGUGAGCUGCGAGAAGUGGUAGGCGAAGCCGAACCCGAUCGCGGUGGUGAAGACCCAGGCGACGAGCUUGAGCGCCGUGCGACGCGGCCCCCUGUCAGUUGGGGGCGACCUAUUCAGCUCGGUCAGGCAGUAGUCGAGCAGGAGGUAGGCGAGGUACACGAAGACGAUGAAGACGACCAUGGGGGUGUCCCCGUUGACGGAGGCUCGGUAGAUGGUGUUGACACUGUUGAUGGUAAGGAAAGCGAGGGGGAUCGAGCAGGGGAGGCCAGAGUGGUCGUCGCCCCCGCCGCCGC